CUAGAGAAACUGCCCGUGAUAAGCGGGAGGAAGGUGUGGAUGACGUCAAGUCCUCAUGGCCCUUACGGGUUGGGCUACACACGUGCUACAAUGGCAGUGACAAUGGGUUAAUCCCAAAAAGCUGUCUCAGUUCGGAUUGGGGUCUGCAACUCGACCCCAUGAAGUCGGAAUCGCUAGUAAUCGCGUAACAGCAUGACGCGGUGAAUACGUUCCCGGGCCUUGUACACACCGCCCGUCACACCAUGGGAGUUGGUUCUACCCGACGACGCUGCGCUAACCCUUCGGGGAGGCAGGCGGCCACGGUAGGAUCAGCGACUGGGGUGAAGUCGUAACAAGGUAGCCGUAAUCGA
This 350-nucleotide ribosomal RNA is filed under the name uncultured Sulfitobacter sp. RNAcentral describes it as "bacterial SSU rRNA". It matches the Rfam family "Bacterial small subunit ribosomal RNA", at positions 1140 to 1509 of the family's 1533-position model. The record is from RNAcentral. Lineage: Bacteria; Pseudomonadati; Pseudomonadota; Alphaproteobacteria; Rhodobacterales; Roseobacteraceae.